This 325-nucleotide ribosomal RNA is filed under the name Salmonella enterica subsp. enterica. RNAcentral's name for it is "bacterial SSU rRNA". It matches the Rfam family "Bacterial small subunit ribosomal RNA", at positions 1153 to 1477 of the family's 1533-position model. The record is from RNAcentral. RNAcentral also lists the same sequence under 1 other name. Lineage: Bacteria; Pseudomonadati; Pseudomonadota; Gammaproteobacteria; Enterobacterales; Enterobacteriaceae.
CAGUGAUAAACUGGAGGAAGGUGGGGAUGACGUCAAGUCAUCAUGGCCCUUACGACCAGGGCUACACACGUGCUACAAUGGCGCAUACAAAGAGAAGCGACCUCGCGAGAGCAAGCGGACCUCAUAAAGUGCGUCGUAGUCCGGAUUGGAGUCUGCAACUCGACUCCAUGAAGUCGGAAUCGCUAGUAAUCGUGGAUCAGAAUGCCACGGUGAAUACGUUCCCGGGCCUUGUACACACCGCCCGUCACACCAUGGGAGUGGGUUGCAAAAGAAGUAGGUAGCUUAACCUUCGGGAGGGCGCUUACCACUUUGUGAUUCAUGACUG